GCUGUUGUGCUAAGGAAGCAGCUUCAACAGGCACUUGGUGAGUACGGGAAGCAUCCAUUCAUUGCAAAAUCACGGGGACAGAGGAGGAAUUCAUCGGAUCAUAACACUGAGAAACUCCAGAGGCUUCUGGUUCACUGCUCGGAUUCCACAGAUGAGGGUCAGAGGCAGAGGUGGAAGCUGGAAUGGGCAAGCCUGCCCUCUCCCCGCCUCUCCACGGCGCUGUAUUCAGGCUGUUUCUGCAACUUGACGUGAGGCCUGGCCCCAGGGAAAGCAGCAGGGCCUCAUCUCCUCCUUGUGCUGCUCAGAGGUGGAGCCUUCUCAGGGUCAGUCCAGCUCAGGAGCCCCUCUCCAGCUUGGUCACCAAAGCUGCCUGGUCCCAGGGCGGUGCUGAGUGACAGGCAUGCCACCCAAUCUAAUUGGACACUUCAUACCCAACGCACGAGUUAACGCCCUGUCUCCAAGGCACAGGCUUUACGGAAACAGCUUUAACGACCUCUUCACUUACAGACAAGACUCUUAGUGGUGGAACCUCAGGCACCCAUGCAGGAUGUAAGAAAGCGCUUCGCUUGUAUAUACAUGAACUGAAAAGUGUGUAGAAAAAUAAGUACCGUAAUAGGUAAUAAAAUGUAUGUUUUUUUAU
Molecule: long non-coding RNA, 640 nt
Organism: Cebus imitator (Panamanian white-faced capuchin)
Lineage: Eukaryota; Metazoa; Chordata; Mammalia; Primates; Cebidae
Exons: 2
Source: RefSeq, a predicted model, not a curated record